This is a long non-coding RNA of Leopardus geoffroyi (Geoffroy's cat), 319 nucleotides long. RefSeq lists it as uncharacterized. The transcript has 3 exons. Lineage: Eukaryota; Metazoa; Chordata; Mammalia; Carnivora; Felidae. The record is from RefSeq and is a predicted model, not a curated record.
GUGCCCCUGCGAGAGCCCAGCCGCCGGCAGGGCGCAAGCGGGAAGCUGGAGGGAGAAGUCCGGGUGCUGCUGGGGAGCCCCAGAAGGGGGUCGCUGGAGAAGUUGAAAAGAAAACAUUAAAACUCUUCAAGAUGUGAGCUCGCAGGAGCCCGAGAACGUCCACCCAGUGGGGAAAAAUGGCGAAGUGAAUCAGUCCUGAUUCUGCCAGAGUUUUCACCCAUCUCUUGGGGUUCUCUCGUUUUGAUUUCUGCUGCCACCAGCUAAAAGUGUUUCAAGGGAGAGACAGAGCAUGAACGGGGGAGGGUCAGAGAGAGGAAGA